Molecule: non-coding RNA, 5588 nt
Organism: Peromyscus maniculatus bairdii (prairie deer mouse)
Lineage: Eukaryota; Metazoa; Chordata; Mammalia; Rodentia; Cricetidae
Source: RefSeq, a predicted model, not a curated record
UCUGCCCCUUGAGUUGGCAAGCAGGUUCUUUUGGUGCCCUGGCUAAGAAACAUCACCUCCAGAACAACACAUGGAAAGGCGGGCCAAGAAGUAGUCCUAAGAUUGUUGACUCAGGAGUCACGAUGCCUGGGAUGGAAUCCCAGACCUGCCACGUGCUGACUGUGUGACCUGGGGCAAGCUACGCAACCUCUGUGAUGCUCUGCGCCCUUACGUCUCCAAGGGGAUAAUGAUCACAGGACCGUCAUGGGGGUUCACGGAGUUGAUGCAGGGUAUUCUGCAUACCAACCCUCAUAGGACACCUGAGAGUCCCUUCAGCCCCCAACAUAUCCGACCACAGAUUGUCCCAGGAGGAGCCUGCGACUCUGAUGUGGGGAAUUCUCUGGAAACGGAACAGCACGCUGCCGCCUAGUUGACUCCAUGGAAGUAGAGGCUGAGAGGAAACCUAAGCUUCGUCCCUUCCUUACAAACAGGCACCAGCACCAGGCAUGCCACUGGACCCUGGAGAGGAACAAGUCUUAGAGUUAGCAACAAGUUCUGAGAAAUAUCUGCCCUCCGUACACACACCCUGUGCACACGCCUGGCCCCAUAUACACACACCGUGUACGCGCACAUCCCUGGAGUUGGAAGCUAAUGUCACUAGAGGUAACAUUACAGGGUCAUGAAUACAUAAAAACUGCUAAGCAAGAAGACAGGUACAUCCAACCCCUUGACAUUUUAUCAUCCAUGAAGUUCAGGCUCGAAAUCUGUGCAACCAAGUUACAAAAGAGACCGGGGGGGGGGGGGGGGGGGGGCGCAGCGCGGGGCAUCGUGUUUUAAACGUCUUGAUUAUACAAGGUGCAGCAGCUUGGCACCAGCCUGUUGUGUCUUUACACUCUGCUGACCCUUGCUAAAAGAGAGCAACUAAAAGCAAAGGAGAGAACCGCCCAGCAGCUCGGAGCUCUUAGCUCCUCAUGCAGCCGCUACAGAGCUAGGCCGGGAGGCUGGUGAAGAACGCGGACGGACGGACGGAUGACACCCUGCCCAGACACACUCCAGGAAUGUGAACCCACAGCCCUCAGGAAGCUACAGUGCAAUAAGAGACAGAUAACAAGGACCAGGCCGGAGGCCAACACUGGAGCCGUUAGAGCCUCCAAAGGAGAAGCCAUUGGAACAGCAGCCGCCUGAGUGACAGACAGAGCUGAGCCAGGUUGAGGCGGCGGGGACAGUGUUCCAGGCCCAGGAGGCAAAGGAAUCCAAGCCAGAACUGCAUAACACGGACGGCUGCUUUAAACAGAAGAAUAACCGUGCUCACAGCAGCGUUAUCCACAAGAGCCGGAAGUGAAAGCAAGCCCAAAGCCCAUUAACUGGCUCACUUCCUCAGAGGGUGGCGGGCCACUGUGCUGGAAGGAGGCCAUGAGGCUGGGGAGAAGUGUGAGGAGACUACCGAGGAAGCCACAGCAUGGUUGGGACAAGGAGAUUUUUCCAUUGCAUGGGAGACCGACAGCAACAUCUUCAACUUGCGCGUGCACCGAGCAGGGCUCCUCGUCACUUACUCGGGGACAUAUGGUUUUCAUCAGCUACCUCUCUCUUCUUGGCAGCCACCAGAUCAAGGAUUUACAUUUCGUUUAACAAACGUCCCCUCAAACCCCUUGCGCCAAGCUCUUAUUUGUUACUCUACCCCUUUCUCUGUCUCUCGUGAUCCCAUCUCUGCCUCAUUUGCCAAAGAAUGCCAACCCCUAGCCAGGCAAACCCAACUAAAGGAAGUACCAGACCUGGCCAGCAAAGCCUGGAAGCAGAAGUUGGCCCAAAGGCCUCUGGGAGAUGGAGCAGUCGAGGAAAGGGGACAGAGGCCUAGAUUGGGCUCCUGGCGUCUCGCCCAUUGGUCAGGAGCCUGGAAGCAGACGAACCAAGUCUUCCAUCUCUACACCACCUGGCAGUCCAAACUCCAGUCCAAACUCCAGUCCGACUCCUUCCUGGGACAUAACAGAGCUCAGGGUAAACCAAGGGAACGUUUCCCCAGAUCUUCCCAACAGCUGGUGUUCCAUCAGAUGCUAAGGCUGAUGACCAUGGGUCUGGAUUGCUGACUGUGACACCCUUAGCCACACAGAGUGGUAUGAGAGAGACUGACCCAGGGCAGGCAGUCCUGGGAACUUCUUGACUAUACAGAAGGACGCGUUCCUUUCUCUCUCGCCUAGAAACCGAGACUGGUCCAGGUGCUGACCUUAGUGCCCGCUGUGGCCAAAUCAAAGUGUGUUGUUCUCCACAGAAGUGUGAGUACUUUAACUCGUACAGAACCCGUGAUGGAGGCCCUUCAACAGACUGCCGGGUUAACAGUCUUCCGCAUCAUGUACUUCCUUGUACUCCGUCCUGAGGAAUGUUUCCCCAGGAAGCUAGUAUCCCCAGAGGAGGAUGGCCUGGAUAGAGAAGCUCUGGAAACCAGUUUACAUAUAAGAUGAACCAGGGCUAUCCAGUCUGGAGAAGGACAGAGGAAGUCGGGCUCACAACUGUUGCUGAGGACUUUCCCUGGCACAGGAGGAAAUGAGACAAAGUAGAUUCAGCAAGAAAAAUGCUAUUGACUCAUGCUAAGGGGCGGCUUGAAUUAGCCUCGAGAAUGGCUGAAUCCAGCAUUUUGCCGGCAUCAUCGAGGUUCUCUUCUCCAGUGGCCUGCCUCCACUUAUGUGAUCCAUAGCUGUACCCCAAACUACAUCCUCGGGGCUCUGACUCAUGCCAUCUCUCAAAUAUUUUCUCCUCACGUGGCAGGAAGCCUUCUUAGUCAUCAGCAGCCCUGGAUUCAUAGUCUAUUUAGAGACCCCAUCAGAAGAAGAUAGUCUUCCCUAACCCGUCUGUUGGGAGAGUCGUAGGCCCAACCAGUUGACUCAAACUUGAAAACUAGUCCUGUCUCCCAAACAACUCCCAUAGCCAAGUCAGGUGCCACAUUGACCUGGACUGGGUAUGAGCACACCCCCUGAUCCACCUACAGCACGUUCAUUAGAUGCCAUCUAGAAGGUUGUAUCAACACAGGGAGGGCAGAAGCGGAGCCAGGCAGACAGAACCAGCAGAUGCUCCCCACAGCCAUCUAUGAAUGUUGAGAGAAUCUGUUGUUUUCUUUUUGGGUAGCACCAAGUUUAAUCACACCAUCCUCCUUCUUGGUAUCUUUCCAUAGCUGCCGAUGGCCCAGGAGAUAAGGGCUAGUUCCAUACAAUGCCCUGCAGAGAAGUCUGUGUUCUGGCCUGCUCCCUGCUCAGCCUUACCCACCAUUCUUACUCACUCAUUCUCUCCUGAGUCCUUUCUACCAGAGCUGGUCAGUCCCCGACUUCCUCCUCUCAAAGCAGGGACCCGAUUUCCCCCUAAUCCUCAGCAACGUAGCCAGAAACAAAAUAACUGCCUGAAAACCCACGGGAACAGAGGAAAUGCCCAUCCAGCACCGCUAACCGCUGCUCCCAGAGGUGGCCCAGAGCUGAUUUUGAAGUCCUUCCCAAGCUCUACCCUACCUCAGGGGUGUUAUUCCUCCUGCCACUGGGCCUGUCCCAGCCUCCUGUCGCUAGAGUCCAGGGCUGAGCAAGCCUAAUCUCAUGGCAGCCUCAAGAACUGUUUCCCCCCUCCCAGAUCCAAGACCUGUCCCAGAAACGGCCUCCUCCCUGAAUUACCAAUAAUAGACAUAUCAAAAAGAUACCCACGGGGGACUCCCCUGGAGCUGGGGAGCCAGGUUAAAAGAUCUCCUCAGGUGAGACACCUACUCCCAGGUCUAGGAUGUACUGCCCUGGGCAGCUUCUGCCUCAUCUGAAACAGUGAACAUUUCCUUCUACAUUCUGCCCUACCCCUUGUACAAACAACUCUGGUUCACAGAGUAUUAUCUAUAACACACGAACCACAAGCAUAAGAUAAUGUGACUCCAAAUUAGGACAUUGGUAGUGUUCUAAGUAAACCGUCCCCAGAGGCAUCAUUUAAGUCAUUCCAGACGUCUUUUGCUAAAGGGUAUUCACAUCUCAGAGUUAGAAAUCUCUCUAGGGCUCCCUCGGUGUUUUCCCAUACUCACCAAGACGGGCACUGGGGGUUGGGGGUGGGGGUUGUUUCCUAUUGAUGGAACAUAGGGGUCAAGUGGUGAAUUCCAAAACAAAAGGGUAUCUCCUGCAAGCAAAGUUUAGACUCCACCAGGGAGGCAAUGCCAUUUCUUCCCCUAGUUAAAAAAAGAACAACUUAUUAUAAUGUUAUAGUUCCAGGACAAGCAGAGAGGAAGGGUGGAGGCUGACGUCAAGGUUGUGUUGUGGGAGACCUAUUAAGAUGUCUAAUCAAAACCUAAAUCAAAUCAGACACGGGAAUCUCUCAGACUGUUCCCGAACAGCAAAAUGUUAUAUAACGGAAGCUCAAAAGCAAGGAAUAGAAAAUUUCUAGGUAGCCAAAAAUGAAGCAAACGCAGGAACUGUCAGAAAGUCGAUCCCCUCCAAAGAGAGUCGAGGUCGGCAGUAGUGAAAUCACCUAAGGAGGCCCUGAUAACUCAAGGCACUCACUGGUUCCCAAGGAAAGGAACUCCUGCUGCCAAGGAGCUCACAGAUAAAAGUGAAGUCCAAUGUCAACACAGACAUCCUACCGUCUCCCAUCAGAGAAACUAGAGAUGAAGGACUAGUCUUAAAGGAACCUUUGGUUCGUUAGGCACUUAACGGAGUCGAUGAAAAGGCCACAUAACAAGAACAGAAAAUUAUGACCUACGGACAAGAUGAUUAAGUCUCAACUCUGAUGACCUGUUUGUCUAUUUCUCUUUUGGCUUCAUGUCAUUUGAAGCCUCCUUAGACACACGUGCCUUAGGUGCCACCCAGCCCCCUUGAACUGAUUCUGGGAAAUGGAUUCCUUUAUCCUUCGAAAUACUCCUUGCUUGGAAUCUGCUUCAAAUGAUGUUAAUAGAACCAUUCCCAAUACUGAAAUAAAAAAUUAAACACGGAAUUAUUUAAACACUCCAAUUAAAAGGCAUGCAUGGUCAAGAUGGAAUUUAUUUUCUUUAAACCACAGUCCAACUAAACACUUCCUACAAGAAAUCCACUUUAAAUAUAGUUGUAAAUAGUCUAAAAGUGCACCUUAUUCCUGUAAACUGCUGCUGUUCUGCUGAAUUAUUUCUUCUACUGAUUUACAGGUAUUAUUUCUCAAUAAUAGCCCUUUGUCUAUGGUGACCAUGUAAAUCAUUAUCCACUUACUAUACUUUAAGAGUGACAAAUACUAGUCCAGAUGGGACACUGAGAAAAUAAGCCUGAUCUAGAAGUAUCCUAAGAAAGCUGGGAAGUUACAUCACUACUGCCUAUUACAUUUGCUUCCAAUUUUUCUUCAAAUAUAUUAAUUAUUUAAAUGUCAAUAGACAGCUGGGCAUGGUAGCACACACCUCUAAUCCCAGCACUUGGGAAAUACAUGUGGUCCCAAGCACAGGCAGAUCUCUGUGAGUUUAAGGCUAGCCUGGUCUACACAGUGAAUUCCAGGACAGCCAUGGAUAUACAGAGAAUCCUUGUCUAAAACAAAAACAAAACAACCUUUGAUCUUAAAUCAAAGAUUAGAGUACAUGGCAUAUGGGAAGUUGCAAAAGAAAGCGCAGUUCCCCUAUAUCCUCUGAGGCCGCAGCCCUGAAC